RNAcentral lists this ribosomal RNA (590 nucleotides) under Shigella sonnei. Its description in RNAcentral is "partial 23S ribosomal RNA". It matches the Rfam family "Bacterial large subunit ribosomal RNA", at positions 325 to 920 of the family's 2925-position model. Lineage: Bacteria; Pseudomonadati; Pseudomonadota; Gammaproteobacteria; Enterobacterales; Enterobacteriaceae. The record is from RNAcentral.
UGUGUUAGUGGAAGCGUCUGGAAAGGCGCGCGAUACAGGGUGACAGCCCCGUACACAAAAAUACACAUAUUGUGAGCUCGAUGAGUAGGGCGGGACACGUGGUAUCCUGUCUGAAUAUGGGGGGACCAUCCUCCAAGGCUAAAUACUCCUGACUGACCGAUAGUGAACCAGUACCGUGAGGGAAAGGCGAAAAGAACCCCGGCGAGGGGAGUGAAAAAGAACCUGAAACCGUGUACGUACAAGCAGUGGGAGCACGCUUAGGCGUGUGACUGCGUACCUUUUGUAUAAUGGGUCAGCGACUUAUAUUCUGUAGCAAGGUUAACCGAAUAGGGGAGCCGAAGGGAAACCGAGUCUUAACUGGGCGUUAAGUUGCAGGGUAUAGACCCGAAACCCGGUGAUCUAGCCAUGGGCAGGUUGAAGGUUGGGUAACACUAACUGGAGGACCGAACCGACUAAUGUUGAAAAAUUAGCGGAUGACUUGUGGCUGGGGGUGAAAGGCCAAUCAAACCGGGAGAUAGCUGGUUCUCCCCGAAAGCUAUUUAGGUAGCGCCUCGUGAAUUCAUCUCCGGGGGUAGAGCACUGUUUCGGCA